AGUUGAGCGGAGAUAUAUGGAGCUUGCUUUAUAUAACUUAGCAGCGAACGGGUGAGUAACACGUAGAUAAUCUAUCCUAUACUGGGGGAUAGCCCGAUGAAAGUUGGAUUAAUACCGCAUAUAGCUAUAUAGUUGCAUGAUUAUGUAGUGAAAGAUUUAUUGGUAUAGGAGGAGUCUGCGGCACAUUAGCUAGUAGGUGAGGUAAAGGCUUACCUAGGCGACGAUGUGUAGCCGGUCUGAGAGGAUGAACGGCCACAAUGGAACUGAGACACGGUCCAUACUCCUACGGGAGGCAGCAGUGGGGAAUAUUGCACAAUGGGGGAAACCCUGAUGCAGCAACGCCGCGUGAGUGAAGAAGGUUUUCGGAUUGUAAAGCUCUGUUAGCAGGGAAGAGGAAGGACGGUACCUGCAGAGGAAGCCACGGCUAACUACGUGCCAGCAGCCGCGGUAAUACGUAGGUGGCAAGCGUUGUUCGGAAUAACUGGGCGUAAAGGAUGCGUAGGCGGUUAAACAAGUUAUAUGUUAAAUAUAUAGGCUUAACCUGUAGAAAGCAUAUAAAACUGUUUAACUAGAGUGCAGGAGAGGUAAGUGGAAUUCCUAGUGUAGCGGUGAAAUGCGUAGAGAUUAGGAAGAACACCAGUGGCGAAGGCGACUUACUGGACUGUAACUGACGCUGAGGCAUGAGAGCAUGGGGAGCAAACAGGAUUAGAUACCCUGGUAGUCCAUGCUGUAAACGAUGGGUACUAGGUGUGGGUUGUGAAUAACAAUUCGUGCCGUCGCAAACGCAAUAAGUACCCCGCC
Molecule: ribosomal RNA, 801 nt
Filed under: uncultured bacterium
Lineage: Bacteria
Description: bacterial SSU rRNA
Rfam family: Bacterial small subunit ribosomal RNA
Source: RNAcentral